Molecule: long non-coding RNA, 320 nt
Filed under: Homo sapiens (human)
Lineage: Eukaryota; Metazoa; Chordata; Mammalia; Primates; Hominidae
Description: non-protein coding lnc-CHAC2-8:1
Source: RNAcentral
GUCUUCUUGUCUGUGACCUACUACUUCGACCACAACGCGGUGACUUGGAGGAACUUUCCCAAGUAUUUUCUUCACCAGUAUCAUGAGGAGAGGAAACAAGCUGAAAAACUCGUAAAGCUACGGAACGGCCCGGGCAAGGAAGCCCAGCGCCCGGCCUGGCCCGGCGGGAGGGCAGCAGAGCCGCUCACACUUGGAAAACGGUGUGAACCCGUCACUAUGGGAACUGCGCAGUCUGGCUGCCUCCAAAAACGACACUCACAGGAGUGCCCUCUUUGAGAUUCAUGACCUGAAUAGGCAGGUGAAAGCCAUGCAAGAAUUGG